This 225-nucleotide unclassified non-coding RNA is filed under the name plant metagenome. Its description in RNAcentral is "partial contains small subunit ribosomal RNA, internal transcribed spacer 1, and 5.8S ribosomal RNA". The record is from RNAcentral.
UCUCCGUUGGUGAACCAGCGGAGGGAUCAUUACAGGACUCGCAAGACUCCUACAACCCUGUGAACUUAACUAUAAGCACGUUGCUUCGGCGGGUGUCUCGGAGGGGGUUCUCCCUCCCUGAGACGCUAAACCCGCCGGCAGCCUACUAUACUCUGUCUCUUUGCGUUGGCAUCUCGAGCACAAUCAAACAAGUUAAAACUUUCAACAACGGAUCUCUUGGUUCUG